UAUCACUUGUGGUAUCACCAAGUGGUCCACAUAAGCCAUAUGUCAAAAGGGUAGAGGAGUCCCACGAGGGUAACCUGAGAUCAUAUACAUGCAGGAUCACCAGAACCCCAGGUCACCGGUGUUCAUCGCCUUCAACGUAUUCUCAGGUCGCCCGUGCAGGGCUUCCCUCUACUACACGACCAUGCUUAAUUAGGAUUUGACGAGAAAACGUCCUCCCCUGGAUUGCAAGUAUUUUUUUUAUACAAAUCUUGUCAUUGUAUUUGAGGUAAAUAGCUAAUAUAUUUGUAAUUCGUGAAUGGACUAGUGCUUGCUGACAUUGGUACUACUUCCCUUGAAUAUCAAAGAACAAUGUGUUGAUGAACUGAAAUGCUCCACCUGCCAACUUUAUGAAACUGAACACUGAUUGUUUCAGGCGAUUAGAGUGGGGAUGCUUCGUCGGGAGUCUGGAAUCGGACCAGACAGGUUUUUCUGCGGAAGCGGCUGCAGCAGAAUUCUAGGUUUUUCCUGAUUUGGGCUCAACUUUUUUUUGGGCCUUUUCUGUUUUUUGUUUUGCUAGUAUUUUCGGUUUGUAUAUUUUGUCUUUCGCCCAGUGUUUUGUAAGUAGGUGCUGCUUGUUUAAUAUUUGGUUGACCCCCAAAAAAAAAAUUGAUCAUCAGAUUUUAAACUAUUAUGUUAGCUAGCCCACCCGUUUGGAAAUUCCUAAUUCCGCAAUAUUAGUGCAGGGAAUAUUUACUGUCUUUGUUUUAUUCCCCAUAUA
This is a long non-coding RNA of Malus domestica (apple), 757 nucleotides long. RefSeq lists it as uncharacterized. NCBI's taxonomy places the organism in Eukaryota, Viridiplantae, Streptophyta, Magnoliopsida, Rosales, Rosaceae. The record is from RefSeq and is a predicted model, not a curated record.